Molecule: ribosomal RNA, 254 nt
Filed under: uncultured bacterium
Lineage: Bacteria
Description: partial 16S ribosomal RNA
Rfam family: Bacterial small subunit ribosomal RNA
Source: RNAcentral
UACGUAGGGGGCGAGCGUUGUCCGGAUUUAUUGGGCGUAAAGAGCUCGUAGGCAGCUCAGUAAGUCGGGUGUGAAAACUCCAGGCUCAACCUGGAGACGCCACCCGAUACUGCUGUGGCUAGAGUCCGGUAGGGAAGCAUGGAAUUCCUGGUGUAGCGGUGAAAUGCGCAGAUAUCAGGAGGAACACCAGUGGCGAAGGCGGUGCUCUGGGCCGGAACUGACGCUGAGGAGCGAAAGCGUGGGGAGCAAACAGG